AGAGUUUGAUCAUGGCUCAGGAUAAACGCUGGCGGCGUGCCUAACACAUGCAAGUCGAACGCCCUGCUUCGCAAGGGGCAGGGAGUGGCGGACGGGUGAGGAACACGUGGGUCACCUACCCCCCGGUGAGGAAUACCGCCGAGAAAUCGGCGACAAGACCGCAUAGGCUUCUCUUUAGGGAAGCAAAGCUUGUGCUCGCA
RNAcentral lists this ribosomal RNA (200 nucleotides) under uncultured bacterium. RNAcentral describes it as "partial 16S ribosomal RNA". It matches the Rfam family "Bacterial small subunit ribosomal RNA", at positions 8 to 214 of the family's 1533-position model. The record is from RNAcentral.